GUGUUGUAUGGAAACCAAUUUUACAAUAAAUUUCAUAUUUAAAAAUUUUUUUUAAAUAAUAAAUAAGCAUCAAAAAAUUUUUUAAAAGUCCUUAGAAUUUUCUAUGCAUAGCAUCAUGUCAUCUGCAAAAUAGGGACAGUUUUACUUUUUUUUUCUGAUUUGGGUAUUUAAAAAAUUUUUUCUUACCUAAUUGCUCUAUCUAGGACUUCAAUACUAUAUUGAACAAAAGUGAGAGUGAGCAUCUCUAUCUUGUUCCUGAUCUUGGAAGAAAAAUUUUCACUUUUCACCAUUGAGUGUGAUGUUAGCUAUAGGUUUUAUAAUAUGGCCUUAAAUAUAUUUAGGUACACUCCCUCUUUACCUACUUUGUUGAGGAUUUUUAUCAUAACUGGAUGUUGAAUUUUGUCAGAUACUCUUUCUGCAUCUAUUAAGUUGAACAUAUGAUUUUUAUCCUUUAUUUGUUAAUGUGGUUAAUUUGCAGAUGUUGAAGUACCCUUACAUUUCUGGACUAAAUCCCACUUGAUCAUGGUACAUGAUCCUUUGAAUGUAAUGUUGAAUAUGGUUUGCUAAUAUUUAGCAAAUGGCCCAUGUUUUGUAUUUUUGAUAUCACAUAUUAAAUCUUUUUUUAAAUUUUAUGUAUCCUUAAACUAGUUAAUGUAGUUAAUUUUAUUAUUUUUGUCUUUUAACCUUCAUACUUGCUUUAUAAGUAAUUGGUCCACUGCUUUUACUGUAUAUUUACCUUUUCCAGGGAAACUUUUACUUCCUUAUGCUUUCUUAUUAUUAAUUAGUGUCAUUUCUUUUCAGUUUGGAGAAGUCCCUUUCAGAUUUCUUGUAUGGCCAGUUUAGUUGGGACACACUCCAUUAGCCUUUGCUUGUCUGGCAUACCCUUCAUCUUUCUUUUUUCUUUUUUUCUUUUGUUUUAAAUUCUGAACGAUAAUCUUGCUGGGUGCAGAAUUCUUGGAUGGAAGUCUUUUUCAGCACUUCAAAAAUGUCAUGUCACUCUCUUCUGGCCUACAAAGUUUCUACUGAAAAAUCUGCUGGUAGCCUUAUGGGGUUUCCCUUGUAUAUAAUAAGUUGUUUUUCUCUUGCUGCUUUUAAGAGUCUCUCUUCAACUUUUACCAUUGUAAUUAUGUGUCAUGAUAUGCAUCUAUUUAGGUUCAUCUUAUUUGAAAUUCUCUGGGGUUCCUGGACUUGUACAUCCAUUUUCUUCUUCAGACGAGGUGGUUCCUGUUUGCAUUCAUCCCAACAGUUUAUGGGAAUGCACAUCUCACUGAAGUCAUGAUGACAGAAGGAACCCCCCAGUGGUGUGGACUCAGUGUCAGCUCCUGAAGAGUGUCCACUCAGCCCUACCGACUUCAGACUUGCCUGUCCCUUAAUCAAGUAAGCCUACUCCUUGAUCUCUCCCCCUCUCUCUCAGUCUCUCCCUCUUUCCUUCCCUUCUUUCUUUCCACGCUUCUGCCCCACCCCCUCUCAUUAUCUUUCUCUCUCAUUUCUUUAUUUCUUUCUCUCUGGUGGGACCCUGACUGACACAGAGGCCUAUAAAUGUUUCUUCAGUGACAAAGAAUAUUUCCUCUUUAAAUCUUUUAAACUUCACUGAUGUAAUCUACUGCAUAAAAGGCCAGAUACUAUUCCAUCAUCUUACAUAUUGUGAAAACUGAUAGUACUAGCUUCAGGAUUUAAACAGGGGGAAAAAGAUAUUUUUUCCACUCACUAUGACACUAAGUUAACAUAUGCCAACACCGUCUGUCUGUACCAGCCAAGCAAGACGAAAAGUGUAAUAUGUCUUUCCAAGGUGAGAUGGUAAUUGUUCCUAAGUAAAUGAAAGAAAAAGUUUACUUUACACAGCCUCUAUUGAAAUGUAUUUAUUGUGGGGUGUCUGGGUGGCUCAGUUGGUUAAGUGGCCAACUUUGGCUCAGGUCAUGGUAUCACGGUUUGUGGGGUCGAGCCCCACAUCGGUCUCUGUGCUGACAGGUCAGAGCCUAGGUCCUGCUUCAGAUUCUAUGUCUCCCCCUCUCUCUGCCCCUCCACGGCUUGCACUCUGUCUCUCCCCCUCUCUCUCAAAAAGGAAAUAAACAUUAAAAAAAUUAAAAAAAAAAAAAAGAAGUGUAUUUAUUGUGCUACUAGGCACAAACUCUGUGUUAAUGGUGCUAGAUUGCCGAAUAAGAGAAUGGGGAUAUUCGCCUGGACAUAAAUCACCCUCCACUGAUGUCUUCUCUCACUGUGCUGGAAACUCAUAGAAAAGUGUUGUUUACAUCUUUUAUGAUAAGAGGAUAAAGCAUGUGCUUUACUGAUUCUCAGGAAGAUUCCCAAAAAUGACUUUCACUAUUUUCUCGGGAAUACAAUUUUAUGUGAGAAACAAUCCUGAGAAUUGAGAUAGCAUUUGCUUCUCUUUUUAGAUUAAACACCAGACUCCUGUGGAUGUGCUAUGUUUUCUCUUCCAGUGUCGAUUCACAUUAACACAUCUCCAUUCUGAAACUCAUUGGUAUGGCUUCUUGUAACUAAAAAACUCUUCUGGCAAUGCUGAAAACUCAAAUGACUGCUCUAUAAAUGUAGGCACAUUAUCAGAAAUUGUUAGCACUAGCGCUACACAAAUGGGUAUACAGAGCAUUAAACUUAUUCUUGCUCUCUUUUCCUGUAGCUGUAAUGACAUUCUGAAAUACUGCUUAAGGGAGGAUUAUCGGAGGAUAAAAUCAAUAUCUCUGCACUUUUACCAAUCUUCAUAAGAAAUCAACUAAUGAAUAGCAAAAGAGUGAUUGGCUUUAUUCUGCAUUUUUCUCCAAGCUUGACAAUAAACUAUUCUUGCUUCAGAAAAAAGACAUUAACAUCAGCCCAGUUGCUAAGUACCGAAUGACACAUUUCUUUAACUACAUUCAUGUAGUUUAUCAUUUGUUUUGGUAGUGAAUCUGCUUUACCUUAUGCUUAGGUUUGUGUGUGUGUGUGUGUGUGUGUGUGUGUGUGUGUG
This is a long non-coding RNA of Acinonyx jubatus (cheetah), 2959 nucleotides long. RefSeq lists it as uncharacterized. The record is from RefSeq and is a predicted model, not a curated record. Lineage: Eukaryota; Metazoa; Chordata; Mammalia; Carnivora; Felidae. The transcript has 3 exons.